UGGGGCAAGUCCCCGCCCACUAUCAACAUUUAAUUUAAUCAUUUUAAUUGUGUGGCCAGAAUAAUUGCUGUGAUGUUUGCUUCCAACUGGCAAGAUACUCAUCAAAAUGAAAGGCUAUGGUACUGAAAGCCAUAUAACUAAUAGUUAUAGGCGCAUAACAGUCAAAACUAGAAGAAACAUGCUUUGUUCCCAGGAGAGGAAGUUGAAUGAUGAAUUGAAGUGAAGGAAGUGGUGGAGGGUGGCUCAGCCAUGCUUGACCUUUUCACCCCGCAGCUCCGCCCCUAUUGUUAUCAUGCAAUUGCACACCACCAAUAGGCCUCCAGAAAUAGUAAUUUCAUAAUAAUAAUUUCAGUGUUGCUUUAACACCAACAUUCAAGCAACGACACAAAACUUACUGAAUCGCCUGCAAUUUGUAAGACUGUCUGAUACAUGUCAUUGUACGUCUUUAAGAAGGAUUUUUCUUUCGAGUCUUCUCAUCCUCUUUGGCGAAAGGCUUCCCGUCACCCUGUUUGGAUGCGUCCUGCUACGGGCCGGUUUGUUUAUCCUCACAGUGUUUAGGUUGAGGAAGGCCAAGAAAGGAAGUCUGCCAUCUCCCAAAUGUUGUUUUGGGAUAUAAGUGACCAAAAGGGCAUACACAGGUUCCCCAACAUGGGCCCGGCCUUUAGCGACUGGAGAGGAUGAAGGGAAGGGGGGAGAUGAUGAAGGGUUGUGGGGGAGGAAGGAGAGACAUUUCUUCCUCCGGUGCAGACACUGACCCUAUAGGCGUCUGAAAUGAGAGGGAGAAUUAACGAAGAAUCCGGUCUUGGCAGGGCACAGCUAAUAUCAUGGUAAUUUAAAUAUGCUUUUAAGAAGUGUGUGUGUGUGUGUGUGUGUGUGUGUGUGUGUGUGUGUGUGUGUGUGUGUGUGUGUGUGUGUGUGUGUGUGUGUGUGUGUGUGUGUGUGUGUGUGUGUGUGUGUGUGUGAUGGAAAUAGACAAGUACAUCCAGUCGCCUCACAAGCAAACAAGUGGUGAGCCGUGCAAAAGGAAUUUCAGGCCCCUAACAAAAACAUUUGACCACACCUCGUAAGGCGAGCGACUUCCCCAUGGUGGAUUCCCUUUGCAGUUUGACACUUGGUUCAGGACCAGAUCUAAAUAGAUUUCUUUGUUCCCCCGGGGGCUGUAUUCCAGAGGAUACGGAAAACUCUCCCGACCCCGGAGCGUGUGGCUAUGUCGACGGCCUGACAUGCGGAAGUGCGGUCGCUCUCGGACGCUUUUGUUUUUGACGGUUUUUCUGUUGGUUUUCAGUCCCCUUGAAAACCAGCUUGAUUUGACUGCAUUUUGUUGACCUGUACUUCGCCCCCCAGGUCAUGUCGGCUACUUGUAGCCACCAAUGGAACAGGGCUUUUUAUUUACUAGGGUUUUUUUUUUACGCAUGUUUCUUUUUUUUUUUUUACACUAAUGGAUUGGAAGGCUGCUCGAAUUGUGUGACCAAGGCAGAGUUGGAGUGGUGGAUUCACACACGUGCGCACACACACACACAAACAGUGUGUGGAAUGGACAGACUUCUCCCUCUGCCUCAGUGAGUGCGUACAAACGCACAUACGCCGGUGGGGACACAUUCAAAAUUAGACCACACAAAGGUUUCCGGAAUAACAAGACGGUCAAGGAGAGGUCGUGGCAUGAGAGAAUAUUGCAGAACAUGAAGUACUCGGCCCCUAUUGAAUUGCGUUAUAGUAUGUCAAUUCAUUCCACACCUUACGAGUGUACUCUCCACCCUGAACCCCUUAGAUACAUCACGCUGCGCUUAAAUGUAUGACUGGGUCUGGUGAUACCUACAGAACCCAUCACGGUGCUCUGCUCUCUAUGGCAAAGUUUGCUGCCCCCCCGCUCUAUGUGUGAUCAACAAUGGUGUAUAUUUAUUCACAAUGAACUCUUAAACAAAAGACUGAUUUCCUAUCUUCACUAUUAGGCAAGGCAAGGCAAUUUAUUUAUAUAGCGCAUUUCAUACUCCAGGUAGACACAAUGUGAUUUACACAGCUGAGGCAUUACCUCAAAUAGAAGUACACAAGUAAGAAAAAAAACUCUUACUUGUGUACUCCAUGUAGAAAAAAAACUCCAUGUAGGAGUUUAUCAGAGCCAACCUGGGGAAUGGAUUAUACUACAUGUUCCUCAGGUCAACUCCAAACUCUGAACGAUUUAUUUUCUAAUGUUUUCGAUAAGAUAAGAUAUACUUUAUUCUUCUCAGCAGAGAAAUGUAGGCGUUCCAGCAGCCAGCAUACACACAACACAACUAGGGAUCGACCGAUACGGAUUUUUUAGGGCCGAUACGAUACAGAUAUUUUUUUAUCAGCCUUAGCCGAUACGCAGAUACGCCGAUACCGAUUUUCUUGAGCCGAUAUUUAGAGCCGAUAGUUAGAGCCGAUACUGCUUUUGCUCCCUCAAUCAUAAAAAUUACACUGAUAACAAAUGUUACAAGUCUCAAUUUAAAAAAAGGAACAUUUAUUGAACUUCAAUAUAAAAAACAAUAUUUAAGAAAUAGUAAAAACAGGUGAGGUAGAACAAGUAAGAACAA
This is a long non-coding RNA of Gadus macrocephalus (Pacific cod), 2552 nucleotides long. RefSeq lists it as uncharacterized. The transcript has 2 exons. The record is from RefSeq and is a predicted model, not a curated record. Lineage: Eukaryota; Metazoa; Chordata; Actinopteri; Gadiformes; Gadidae.